UGGGGAAUAUUGGACAAUGGGCGCAAGCCUGAUCCAGCAAUACCGCGUGUGUGAAGAAGGCCUUAGGGUUGUAAAGCACUUUUAUGUGGGAAGAGGGUGUGUGUGUUAAUAGCACAUGCAAUUGACGGUACCACAAGAAUAAGCACCGGCUAACUCCGUGCCAGCAGCCGCGGUAAUACGGAGGGUGCGAGCGUUAAUCGGAGUUACUGGGCGUAAAGGGUACGUAGGCGGCUUAAUAAGUCAGAUGUGAAAUCCCCGGGCUUAACCUGGGAACUGCAUUUGAAACUGUUUAGCUAGAGUGAGUGAGAGGUUAGUGGAAUUCAAGGCGUAGCGGUGAAAUGCGUAGAGGUCUUGAGGAACAUCAGUGGCGAAGGCGACUAACUGGCACUACACUGACGCUGAGGUACGAAAGCGUGGGGAGCGAACAGGAUUAGAUACCCUGGUAGUCCACGCCCUAAACGAUGAGGACUGGCUGUUGGCGCUAUAGACGCGUCGGUAGCGAAGCUAACGCGUUAAGUUCUCCGCCUGGGGAGUACGACCGCAAGGUUGAAACUCAAAGGAAUUGACGGG
RNAcentral lists this ribosomal RNA (570 nucleotides) under uncultured Gammaproteobacteria bacterium. Its description in RNAcentral is "bacterial SSU rRNA". It matches the Rfam family "Bacterial small subunit ribosomal RNA", at positions 355 to 917 of the family's 1533-position model. Lineage: Bacteria; Pseudomonadati; Pseudomonadota; Gammaproteobacteria. The record is from RNAcentral.